GGGGCUGGGGCUCAGUGGUAGAGUGCUUGCUUAGUGUACAUGAGGCACUGGGUUCAAUUGUCAGCACCA
Molecule: transfer RNA, 69 nt
Filed under: Marmota monax (woodchuck)
Lineage: Eukaryota; Metazoa; Chordata; Mammalia; Rodentia; Sciuridae
Description: tRNA.Thr
Source: RNAcentral